RNAcentral lists this ribosomal RNA (472 nucleotides) under uncultured Massilia sp. FR036. Its description in RNAcentral is "bacterial SSU rRNA". It matches the Rfam family "Bacterial small subunit ribosomal RNA", at positions 916 to 1381 of the family's 1533-position model. Lineage: Bacteria; Pseudomonadati; Pseudomonadota; Betaproteobacteria; Burkholderiales; Oxalobacteraceae. The record is from RNAcentral.
AGACGGGACCCGCACAAGCGGUGGAUGAUGUGGUUUAAUUCGAUGCAACGCGAAAACCUUACCCACCUUUGACAUGGCAGGAAUCCUGAAGAGAUUUGGGAGUGCUCGAAAGAGAACCUGCACACAGGUGCUGCAUGGCUAUCGUCAGCUCGUGUCGUGAGAUGUUGGGUUAAGUCCCGUAACGAGCGCAACCCUUGUCCAUAGUUGCCAGCACGUAAAGGUGGGAACUCUAUGGAGACUGCCGGUGACAAACCGGAGGAAGGUGGGGAUGACGUCAAGUCAUCAUGGUCCUUAUGGGCAGGGCUACACACGUACUACAAUGGUCGGUACAAAGGGCUGCCAACCCGCGAGGGGGAGCUAAUCCCACAAAGCCGAUCGUAGUCCGGAUCGCAGUCUGCAACUCGACUGCGUGAAGUCGGAAUCGCUAGUAAUCGUGGAUCAGCAUGUCACGGUGAAUACGUUCCCGGGUCUU